UGGGGAAUUCUGGACAAUGGGCGCAAGCCUGAUCCAGCCAUGCCGCGUGCGGGAAGAAGGCCUUCGGGUUGUAAACCGCUUUUGUCAGGGAAGAAAUCCUUUGAGCUAAUACCUCGGGGGGAUGACGGUACCUGAAGAAUAAGCACCGGCUAACUACGUGCCAGCAGCCGCGGUAAUACGGAGGAUCCAAGCGUUAUCCGGAAUCAUUGGGUUUAAAGGGUCCGUAGGCGGUUAUGCAAGACAGAGGUGAAAUCCCCGGGCUCAACCUGGGAACUGCCUUUGUGACUGCAUAGCUAGAGUACGGUAGAGGGGGAUGGAAUUCCGCGUGUAGCAGUGAAAUGCGUAGAUAUGCGGAGGAACACCGAUGGCGAAGGCAAUCCCCUGGACCUGUACUGACGCUCAUGCACGAAAGCGUGGGGAGCAAACA
This 427-nucleotide ribosomal RNA is filed under the name uncultured bacterium. RNAcentral's name for it is "bacterial SSU rRNA". It matches the Rfam family "Bacterial small subunit ribosomal RNA", at positions 355 to 774 of the family's 1533-position model. The record is from RNAcentral.